This 491-nucleotide ribosomal RNA is filed under the name uncultured bacterium. Its description in RNAcentral is "partial 16S ribosomal RNA". It matches the Rfam family "Bacterial small subunit ribosomal RNA", at positions 29 to 506 of the family's 1533-position model. The record is from RNAcentral.
AGUGAACGCUGGCGGUAGGCCUAACACAUGCAAGUCGAACGGCAGCACAGUAAGAGCUUGCUCUUACGGGUGGCGAGUGGCGGACGGGUGAGGAAUACAUCGGAAUCUACUUUUUCGUGGGGGAUAACGUAGGGAAACUUACGCUAAUACCGCAUACGACCUACGGGUGAAAGCAGGGGAUCUUCGGACCUUGCGCGAUUGAAUGAGCCGAUGUCGGAUUAGCUAGUUGGCGGGGUAAAGGCCCACCAAGGCGACGAUCCGUAGCUGGUCUGAGAGGAUGAUCAGCCGCACUGGAACUGAGACACGGUCCAGACUCCUACGGGAGGCAGCAGUGGGGAAUAUUGGACAAUGGGCGCAAGCCUGAUCCAGCCAUACCGCGUGGGUGAAGAAGGCCUUCGGGUUGUAAAGCCCUUUUGUUGGGAAAGAAAAGCAGCAGGUUAAUACCCCGCUGUUCUGACGGUACCCAAAGAAGAAGCACCGGCUAACUUCGU